GGGCCCGCACAAGCGGUGGAACAUGUGGUUCAAUUCGACGCAACGCGAAGAACCUUACCUGGGCUCGAAGCGUGCCUGACCAGCGUGAGAAAUCACGCCUUCCCGCAAGGGACAGGUACGGAGGUGCUGCAUGGCUGUCGUCAGCUCGUGCCGUGAGGUGUUGGGUUAAGUCCCGCAACGAGCGCAACCCUUAUCCUUAGUUGCCACCCGCAAGGGGGAACUCUAAGGGGACUGCUCCGGACAACGGAGAGGAAGGUGGGGAUGACGUCAAGUCAGCAUGGCCUUUAUGUCCAGGGCUACACACGUGUUACAAUGCGCGCCACAAAGCGUUGCAAACCCGCGAGGGGGAGCUAAUCGCAAAAAAGCGCGCUCAGUUCGGAUUGCAGUCUGCAACUUGACUGCAUGAAGCCGGAAUCGCUAGUAAUGGCGCAUCAGCACGGCGCCGUGAAUACGUUCCCGGGCCUU
Molecule: ribosomal RNA, 465 nt
Filed under: uncultured bacterium
Lineage: Bacteria
Description: bacterial SSU rRNA
Rfam family: Bacterial small subunit ribosomal RNA
Source: RNAcentral